Molecule: ribosomal RNA, 3345 nt
Filed under: Triticum aestivum (bread wheat)
Lineage: Eukaryota; Viridiplantae; Streptophyta; Magnoliopsida; Poales; Poaceae
Description: partial small subunit ribosomal RNA
Source: RNAcentral
AUGGAGAUGGUGGAGAAGCUUUCUCUCACCACAAGACCACAUCCACAUCCUUACUACAUCCAAUGGUUCAACAACAGCGGCAAGGUUAAGGUAACACGUACUGUUCGUGUGCAUUUUAGUAUAUCUACAUAUGCUGAUUAUGUUGAUUGUGAUGUGGUACCUAUGCAAGCAUGUUCCUUAUUACUUGGUAGACCAUGGCAAUUUGAUAAAAAUUCUGUACACCAUGGUAGAAACAAUCACUAUACUCUUGUUCAUAAGGAUAAAAAUAUUACUUUGCUUCCUAUGACUCCUGAUUCCAUUUUGAAAGAUGAUAUUAAUAGAGCUAAUAAAGCAAAACAGGAGAAGAAUAAGAGUGAAAAUCAGAUUGUGGCAAAAGAAUUUGAGCAACAAAUGAAGCCUAAUAAUAAACCAUCUAGUGUUGCUUCUGAAAUUAAAUUGAAAAGUGCAUGUUUCUUUGCCACCAAAUCUGAUAUUGAUGAGCUAGAUUUCAGCAAAUCUGUUUGCUAUGCUUUUGUGUGCAAAGAGGCAUCAUUUUCAUUCGAGGACGUGCCUUCCUCUUUGCCUCCUGCUGUCACUAACAUUUUGCAGGAGUUCGCUGACGUUUUCCCACAAGACGUGCCACCGGGAUUACCGCCUAUUCGAGGGAUUGAGCAUCAGAUUGACUUAAUUCCCGGUGCUUCACUGCCAAACCAUGCACCAUACCGUACCAAUCCAGAGGAGACGAAGGAGAUUAUGCGUCAAGUACAAGAGCUUCUCGACAAAGGUUAUAUACGCGAAUCCCUUAGUCCUUGUGUUGUUUCUAUUAUUCUAGUGCCGAAAAAGGAUGGUACAUCACGUAUGUGUGUUGAUUGUAGAGGCAUUAAUAAUAUUACUAUUCGUUAUCGUCAUCCUAUUCCUAGGCUAGAUGAUAUGCUUGAUGAAUUGAGUGGCUCUACAAUAUUCUCCAAAGUUUAUUUGCGUAGUGGCUACCAUCAAAUUCGUAUGAAAUUGGGAGAUGAAUGGAAAACAGCAUUUAAAACUAAGUUUGGAUUAUAUGAGUGGUUAGUCAUGCCUUUUGGGUUAACUAAUGCACCUAGUACUUUCAUGAGAUUAAUGAACGAAGUUUUACGUGCUUUCAUUGGACGAUUUGUGGUAGUUUACUUUGAUGACAUAUUGAUUUAUAGCAGAUCUUUGGAAGAACAUUUGGAACAUUUACGUGCUGUUUUUAUUGCUCUAUGUGAUGGACGUUUGUUUGGUAACCUUGGGAAGUGCACCUUUUGCACCGACCGAGUAUCUUUUCUUGGCUAUGUUGUUACUCCACAGGGAAUUGAAGUUGAUAAAGCCAAGAUUGAAGCUAUUGAGAGUUGGCCGCAGCCCAAAAUGGUCACACAAGUGAGGAGUUUUCUUGGCCUCGCUGGAUUCUAUAGGCGUUUUGUGAGAGAUUUCAGCACCAUUGAUGCACCUCUCAAUGAGCUUACAAAGAAAGAUGUGCCUUUUCUUUGGGGUACCGCACAGGAAGAAGCCUUCACGGUAUUGAAAGAUAAGUUGACACAUGCUCCUUUACUCCAACUUCCUGAUUUUAAUAAGACUUUUGAGCUUGAAUGUGAUGCUAGUGGAAUUGGAUUAGGAGGUGUGUUAUUACAAGAUGGCAAACCUGUUGCAUACUUUUCUGAAAAAUUGAGUGGGCCUAGUCUGAAUUAUUCUACUUAUGAUAAAGAAUCAUAUGCUCUUGUUCGUACUUUAGAAACAUGGCAACAUUAUUUAUGGCCCAAAGAAUUUGUUAUACAUUCUGAUCAUGAAUCUUUGAAACAUAUUAAAAGUCAAGCUAAACUGAAUCGUAGACAUGCUAAAUGGGUUGAAUUCAUUGAGACUUUCCCUUAUGUCAUUAAACACAAGAAGGGAAAAGAAAAUGUUAUCGCUGAUGCAUUGUCUCGUCGCUAUACUAUGCUUUCACAACUUGACUUCAAAAUAUUUGGUUUGGAGACCAUCAAAGAUCAAUAUGUGCAUGAUGCUGAUUUUAAAGAUGUAAUGCAGAAUUGUAAAGAAGGAAGAAUGUGGAACAAGUUUGUUGUUAACGAUGGAUUUGUGUUUCGUGCUAACAAGCUAUGCAUUCCAGCUAGCUCCGUUCGUCUUUUGUUGUUGCAGGAGGCGCAUGGAGGAGGAUUAAUGGGACACUUUGGCGUGAAGAAGACGGAGGACGUACUUGCUACACAUUUCUUUUGGCCAAAGAUGAGACGGGAUGUUGAGCGUUUUAUUGCUCGCUGCACUACAUGUCAAAAAGCUAAGUCACAACUCAAUCCUCAUGGUUUAUAUAUGCCUUUGCCUGUACCUAGUGUUCCUUGGGAGGAUAUAUCUAUGGAUUUUGUUUUAGGUUUACCUCGAACAAAGAAGGGGAGGGAUAGCAUAUUUGUUGUCGUGGAUAGAUUCUCGAAAAUGGCACACUUUAUACCAUGUCAUAAAAGCGAUGAUGCUGUUAAUGUUGCUGAUUUGUUCUUUCGUGAAAUUAUUCGCUUGCAUGGUGUGCCAAAUACUAUUGUUUCAGAUCGUGAUACUAAAUUUCUUAGCCACUUUUGGAGAUGUUUAUGGGCUAAGUUGGGGACUAAACUGCUUUUUAGUACUACUUGUCACCCCCAAACUGAUGGACAAACUGAAGUAGUCAAUAGAACGUUGUCUACUAUGCUUAGGGCUGUUUUGAAGAAUAAUAAGAAAAUGUGGGAGGAAUGCUUGCCUCAUAUUGAAUUUGCUUAUAAUCGUUCAUUGCAUUCUACUACUAAGAUGUGCCCUUUUGAAGUUGUGUAUGGUUUCCUACCUCGUGCACCCAUUGAUUUGUUGCCUCUUCCAUCUUCGGAGAAGGUUAAUUUUGAUGCUAAACAACGUGCUGAAUUGAUUUUAAAAAUGCAUGAGUUAACUAAGGAAAACAUUGAGCGCUUGAAUGCUAAAUAUAAACUUGCUGGAGAUAAGGGUAGAAAACAUGUUGUGUUUGCACCUGGAGAUCUUGUUUGGUUACAUUUGCGUAAGGAUAGAUUUCCUGAUUUGCGCAAAUCAAAGUUAAUGCCACGUGCUGAUGGUCCCUUUAAGGUGUUAGAGAAAAUAAAUGAUAAUGCAUAUAAACUUGAGCUGCCUGCAGAUUUUGGGGUUAGUCCCACUUUUAACAUUGCAGAUUUGAAGCCUUAUUUGGGUGAGGAAGAUGAACUUCCGUCGAGGACGACUUCAUUUCAAGAAGGGGAGGAUGAUGAGGACAUCAAUACAAUUGUUACACCCACAGCCCCUGCUGCUAUACAUACUGGACCAAUUACUAGAGCUCGUGCACGCCAACUAAAUUACCAGGUACUUUCGUUUCUUGGUAAUGAUUCUAAUGUUCAUUGA